RNAcentral lists this ribosomal RNA (483 nucleotides) under uncultured Persicirhabdus sp. RNAcentral describes it as "bacterial SSU rRNA". It matches the Rfam family "Bacterial small subunit ribosomal RNA", at positions 29 to 505 of the family's 1533-position model. The record is from RNAcentral. Lineage: Bacteria; Pseudomonadati; Verrucomicrobiota; Verrucomicrobiia; Verrucomicrobiales; Verrucomicrobiaceae.
AACGAACGCUGGCGGCGUGGAUAAGACAUGCAAGUCGAACGGAAAAUGUUAAUAGUUUACUAGAGGCAUUUUUAGUGGCGGACGGGUGAGUAACACGUGAGCAACCUGCCCUAAAGUGGGGGAUAGCCUUUCGAAAGGAAGAUUAAUACCGCAUAUGGUCUACGGAUCAAAGCUGCCUUCGGGUGGCGCUUUGGGAUGGGCUCGCGGCCUAUCAGCUAGUUGGUGAGGUAAAAGCUUACCAAGGCGAUGACGGGUAGCUGGUCUGAGAGGACGAUCAGUCACACUGGAACUGAGACACGGUCCAGACACCUACGGGUGGCAGCAGUCGAGAAUCAUUCACAAUGGGGGCAACCCUGAUGGUGCAACGCCGCGUGGAGGAAGAAGGCCCUAGGGUCGUAAACUCCUGUCAUUUGAGAGUAAGGCUUAUGAGUUAAAAGCUUGUAAGUUUGAUAGUAUCAAAAGAGGAAGGGACGGCUAACUUCG